This 533-nucleotide ribosomal RNA is filed under the name Nanokerala browni. RNAcentral's name for it is "partial 16S ribosomal RNA". It matches the Rfam family "Bacterial large subunit ribosomal RNA", at positions 1808 to 2612 of the family's 2925-position model. The record is from RNAcentral. Lineage: Eukaryota; Metazoa; Arthropoda; Insecta; Hemiptera; Reduviidae.
CAAAAACAUGUCUUUUAGUGUUUAUUUGAAGUCUGGCCUGCUCUAUGAUUGGGAAAUUAAAUGGCCGCAGUAUAUUAACUGUGCUAAGGUAGCAUAAUCAAUUGUUUCUUAAUUAGAAGCUUGGAUGAAGGGCCGGAUGAAAUGUGAUCUUUCUUUAUUUUUAAUUGGUGAAUUUGAUUUUUUAGUUAAAAGGCUAAAAUUAAAUUAAGGGACGAGAAGACCCCGUAGAUCUUGAUUGUAUUUUUAAUUGGUAGAUUUGGUUGUUUAUUGGUCAAUUUUUGUUUCAAUUUUGUUGGGGUGACUGCAGAAUCACAUUAACUUCUGUUAUUAUUUUUCAGUGAUUAUUGUAUUUGUGAUCUUCCUUUGGGGAUUAGAAGAUUAAGUUACCUCGGGGAUAACAGCGUUAUUUCUUCGGAAAGUUCAUAUUGAUGGAGAAGAUUGCGACCUCGAUGUUGGAUUAAAAUAAGUGAUGUGGCGCAGGGGCCCAUUAACUAGGUCUGUUCGACCUGUGAUUUUUUACAUGAUCUGAGUUC